This 233-nucleotide ribosomal RNA is filed under the name uncultured bacterium. RNAcentral describes it as "partial 16S ribosomal RNA". It matches the Rfam family "Bacterial small subunit ribosomal RNA", at positions 333 to 563 of the family's 1533-position model. The record is from RNAcentral.
GGGGGCCUACGGGAGGCAGCAGUGAGGAAUAUUGGUCAAUGGGCGGGAGCCUGAACCAGCCAAGCCGCGUGAAGGAAGAAGGCCCCAAGCGUCGUAAACUUCUUUUGUCGGGGAACAAAGGGCGCCACGUGUGGCGUUGUGAGUGUACCCGAAGAAAAAGCAUCGGCUAACUCCGUGCCAGCAGCCGCGGUAAUACGGAGGAUGCGAGCGUUAUCCGGAUUUAUUGGGUUUAA